AGUACUUAAAUCAAGGCAGUCUUCCUUUUAGAGAGCUAUGAAAAAGGAACUCCCAUAAAAAAGAACCAAACGUUUACUUCCUUGGAAAGCAGAUUAACUCAAAACAGUUCCAAGUCAUUUGGAGCAGGAGUAAUUGUGAAAGUUCAGAUGUUUCAUGGUUUUAACUUCUACAAUUGGGCCUACGAUCAAGGUGUGAGAUAAAAAUCGGUGUUCAUUCCUCCCCCCCCCCAUAUAUGACAGCUAUUUGAUAAAAAGACUUUUCUGAGCCAUUAAGUUACGUUGGCAUCUUUGUUGAAAGUGACGUGGUUGCAUACAGGUGGGCAUGCCGUGGCAUUUCCUGAUGCGUUCGGUUCAUCUGCACGGACGCCACAGUGCCUCCGUCUCUAGCUUCACAAAAGAUCUGGCAGAGUUCAGGAGAGUAAGCUCUCCAGCUGUUCUUUUACAAGUUGCGUUGACUCUUUGAAUUUCGUAGGCAUUCUAAAAGGAGUUUGCCAUUUUCUAUAAAGGAUUUUGGCGGGCAUUGAAUGUACUUAUCACCUUGGAGAAAGUGGACGUGUUAACAACCGGAUGCGGCUCUUCGUUUGUUUUACUCUCCUUUAAAUUAUUUUCAUUUUCAGGGGACAUGUCUUUGUGCAUAGUCUGUAAUCUCUCUCUCUGUAUCCCACACAUUUCCGGGUGCUACUGUGAAUGGGGCUGUACUUUUAAAUUUCAUUCUCUGGUUGUUGCUAGAAUGUGGAAAGAAAUACGGUUGACCUUUGUUUAGCGACCUCUUGUGACUUUGCUAAAUUGGCUCAUUAGCUCUGGUAGCAGUUUUGUAGAUUUGAUUCGUUCUACCCCCAUGAUCAUGUCGUGUGAAUAAAGACUACUAACUCCCUC
Molecule: long non-coding RNA, 876 nt
Organism: Herpailurus yagouaroundi (jaguarundi)
Lineage: Eukaryota; Metazoa; Chordata; Mammalia; Carnivora; Felidae
Exons: 2
Source: RefSeq, a predicted model, not a curated record